This 425-nucleotide ribosomal RNA is filed under the name uncultured bacterium. Its description in RNAcentral is "partial 16S ribosomal RNA". It matches the Rfam family "Bacterial small subunit ribosomal RNA", at positions 354 to 796 of the family's 1533-position model. The record is from RNAcentral.
GUGGGGAAUCUUGCGCAAUGGGCGAAAGCCUGACGCAGCCAUGCCGCGUGAAUGAUGAAGGUCUUAGGAUUGUAAAAUUCUUUCACCGGGGACGAUAAUGACGGUACCCGGAGAAGAAGCUCCGGCUAACUUCGUGCCAGCAGCCGCGGUAAUACGAAGGGGGCUAGCGUUGCUCGGAAUUACUGGGCGUAAAGGGCGCGUAGGCGGACAGCUUAGUCAGAGGUGAAAGCCCAGGGCUCAACCUUGGAAUUGCCUUUGAUACUGGCUGUCUUGAGUACGGGAGAGGUGAGUGGAACUCCGAGUGUAGAGGUGAAAUUCGUAGAUAUUCGGAAGAACACCAGUGGCGAAGGUGACUCACUGGCCCGUUACUGACGCUGAGGCGCGAAAGCGUGGGGAGCAAACAGGAUUAGAUACCCUAGUAGUCC